GUACGGAACCGACCCGGGGACCGCCGGGGCAACCCGGCGCCCCGAGACGGGCGAACCACGGUGAAAUGACGGAUCGUCGGCCCCGCGCCGGCGACUCGCCGAAUGAGUUCUGACCUAUCAACUCGAGACGGCGGGGUAGAGGCCCGCCGCGGUAACGACGGGUAACGGGGAAUCAGGGUUCGAUUCCGGAGAGGGAGCCCGAGAAACGGCUACCACUUCCAAGGAAGGCAGCAGGCGCGCAACUUACCCUAAUCUCGAUUCGAGGAGGUAGUGACAAGAAAUACCGAUGCGGGGACCCUACGGGGUGCCGCGUUCGGAAUGAGUACGAUUCGAACCACCUAACGAGGAACGAUCGGAGGGCAAGUCUGGUGCCAGCAGCCGCGGUAAUUCCAGCUCCAAUAGCGUACGUUAAAGUUGCUGCAGUUAAAAAGCUCGUGUAUAUCUUAUCUCGCCGCCCGUCGCGUAGGCGGACGGAGGGAUGGAUGAGGUUACCUG
Molecule: ribosomal RNA, 495 nt
Filed under: uncultured eukaryote
Lineage: Eukaryota
Description: bacterial SSU rRNA
Rfam family: Eukaryotic small subunit ribosomal RNA
Source: RNAcentral